Molecule: small nucleolar RNA, 217 nt
Organism: Cebus imitator (Panamanian white-faced capuchin)
Lineage: Eukaryota; Metazoa; Chordata; Mammalia; Primates; Cebidae
Source: Ensembl
CAGACUAUACUUUCAGGGAUCGUUUCUAUAGUUUGUUACUAGAGAACUUUCUCUGAAUGUGUAGAGCACCAGAAAUCAUGAGGAAGAGGCAUAGCAUUCUCUCCUGAGCAUGAAGCCAGUUUUUGGCGUUGCUUCAAUGCAACUGCCUUCUGCCCUUGAUGAUCAUUCUUCUCUCCUCCCUGGAGAGGAAGAGUAAGAUGAUGCAGUCUGAGUGGUU